AACGCAUAUGGCACCCGAGACUUCGGUCGAGGGUAUGUCUGCCUCAGAGUCGCCGUAAAACAUCCCCUCGGGUAGCCACAUCGGGCUGCCUCGGGGGGGAGCUGGCCCUCCCACGGAGUUCCCGGCUAAGCGGGCGCUGUAGCCGUGGGUCGGCCGAAGGAGAGAAACGGAGGACCGGUGGGCGUACGAACCCGCUGGACAUCACGAUUUGGUGGGAGGACGGGAGCUUGCUCCCCUUAUCCGUAUCAUCGUCGUGUGACCAGUCGGGGAGCCGUGCCGGUCCCUCCGCCUUUGCAGGAGAUAACAUCUCAUCCAUCGACCUGAGUUCAGGCAAGAUCACCCGCUGAACUUAA
Molecule: unclassified non-coding RNA, 353 nt
Filed under: uncultured fungus
Lineage: Eukaryota; Fungi
Description: partial contains 5.8S ribosomal RNA, internal transcribed spacer 2, and large subunit ribosomal RNA
Source: RNAcentral